ACUCAAAGGAAUUGACGGGGGCCCGCACAAGCGGUGGAGCAUGUGGUUCAAUUCGACGCAACGCGAAGAACCUUACCUGGGCUCGAACGGCUAUGGAUCGACCGUAGAAAUAUGGUUUUCCCGCAAGGGACUGUAGUCGAGGUGCUGCAUGGCUGUCGUCAGCUCGUGUCGUGAGAUGUUGGGUUAAGUCCCGCAACGAGCGCAACCCUUGUCCUGUGUUGCCAUCAUUUAGUUGGGCACUCGCAGGAGACCGCCAGCGAUAAGUUGGAGGAAGGUGGGGAUGAUGUCAAGUCAUCAUGGCCUUUAUGUCCAGGGCUACACACGUGCUACAAUGGACGGUACAAACCGCUGCAAACCCGCGAGGGGGAGCUAAUCGGAAAAAACCGUUCUCAGUUCGGAUUGCAGGCUGCAACUCGCCUGCAUGAAGCUGGAAUCGCUAGUAAUGCCGUAUCAGAACGACGGCGUGAAUACGUUCCCGGGCCUUGUACACACCGCCCGU
RNAcentral lists this ribosomal RNA (499 nucleotides) under uncultured bacterium. RNAcentral's name for it is "bacterial SSU rRNA". It matches the Rfam family "Bacterial small subunit ribosomal RNA", at positions 899 to 1397 of the family's 1533-position model. The record is from RNAcentral.